GCCCCAGGCCCUGAUGGUUUUCCCUUUAUCUUCUAUCAACAUUUUUGGGAGGUCAUCAAAGAGGAUUUCAUGCUGAUGGUUGAUGCUUGGAAUAAGAAUGAGCUUGAUCUAUAUAGACUGAACUUCUCUCUUUUAACCCUUAUCCCUAAAGAAAAUGAUGCUAACAUAAUUCAGAAGUUUAGGCCCAUAGCCAUUACUAAUUGCAGUUAUAAAUUUUUUGCUAAAUGUGUUACUAACCAGUUGGGGGAUAUUUGUGAUGAGCUUAUAUCUCUUAACCAGACUGCCUUUAUUAAAGGUAGAUUUAUUGUUGAGAGUGUAGUGUCA
RNAcentral lists this ribosomal RNA (324 nucleotides) under Triticum aestivum (bread wheat). RNAcentral's name for it is "partial small subunit ribosomal RNA". The record is from RNAcentral. Lineage: Eukaryota; Viridiplantae; Streptophyta; Magnoliopsida; Poales; Poaceae.